UUUUUAUCAGUUUAGUAUCUGAUAUGUCCUCUAUCCCAGGACAAUAUAUUAAAUGGAUUUUGGGAAUUAGGAGUUGGAAUAGGAGCUUGCUUUGUCCAAGCCACGCAUCGACCUGGUAUUGCAGUGCCUCCAGGAGCAGUGC
This is a small nuclear RNA of Ochotona princeps (American pika), 142 nucleotides long. Its record names the gene U2. It matches the Rfam family "U2 spliceosomal RNA". Rfam says of the family: U2 is a small nuclear RNA (snRNA) component of the spliceosome (involved in pre-mRNA splicing). Complementary binding between U2 snRNA (in an area lying towards the 5' end but 3' to hairpin I) and the branchpoint sequence (BPS) of the intron results the bulging out of an unpaired adenosine, on the BPS, which initiates a nucleophilic attack at the intronic 5' splice site, thus starting the first of two transesterification reactions that mediate splicing. NCBI's taxonomy places the organism in Eukaryota, Metazoa, Chordata, Mammalia, Lagomorpha, Ochotonidae. The record is from Ensembl.